CCUACGGGGGGCAGCAGUGGGGAAUAUUGCACAAUGGGGGAAACCCUGAUGCAGCAACGCCGCGUGAGUGAAGAAGUAUUUCGGUAUGUAAAGCUCUAUCAGCAGGGAAGAAAAUGACGGUUACUGACUUAGAAACCCCGGCUAAAUACGUGCCAGCAGCCGCGGUAAUACGUAGGGGGCAAGCGUUAUCCGGAUUUACUGGGUGUAAAGGGAGCGUAGACGGCAGUACAAGGCUGAAGUGAAAGCCCGUGGCUCAACCGCGGACCUGCUUUUGGAACUGUAGAGCUUGAGGACUGGAGAGGCAAGUGGAAUUCCUAGUGUAGCGGUGAAAUGCGUAGAUAUUAGGAGGAACACCAGUGGCGAAGGCGGCAUGCUGGAGAGAAACUGACGUUGAGGCUCGAAAGCGUGGGGAGCGAACAGGAUUAGAUACCCGGGUAGUC
This 440-nucleotide ribosomal RNA is filed under the name uncultured bacterium. RNAcentral describes it as "partial 16S ribosomal RNA". It matches the Rfam family "Bacterial small subunit ribosomal RNA", at positions 338 to 795 of the family's 1533-position model. The record is from RNAcentral.